AACGAACGCUGGCGGCAGGCCUAACACAUGCAAGUCGAGCGGACCCUUCGGGGUUAGCGGCGGACGGGUGAUUAACGCGUGGGAACGUGCCCUUUGCUUCGGAAUAGCCCUGGGAAACUGGGAGUAAUACCGGAUACGCCCUUUUGGGGAAAGAUUUAUCGGCGAAGGAUCGGCCCGCGUUGGAUUAGGUAGUUGGUGGGGUAAUGGCCUACCAAGCCGACGAUCCAUAGCUGGUUUGAGAGGAUGAUCAGCCACACUGGGACUGAGACACGGCCCAGACUCCUACGGGAGGCAGCAGUGGGGAAUCUUAGACAAUGGGGGAAACCCUGAUCUAGCCAUGCCGCGUGAGCGAUGAAGGCCUUAGGGUUGUAAAGCUCUUUCACCGGGGAAGAUAAUGACGGUACCCGGAGAAGAAGCCCCGGCUAACUCCGUG
This 433-nucleotide ribosomal RNA is filed under the name uncultured bacterium. RNAcentral's name for it is "partial 16S ribosomal RNA". It matches the Rfam family "Bacterial small subunit ribosomal RNA", at positions 29 to 507 of the family's 1533-position model. The record is from RNAcentral.